Molecule: long non-coding RNA, 1384 nt
Organism: Cyprinus carpio carpio
Lineage: Eukaryota; Metazoa; Chordata; Actinopteri; Cypriniformes; Cyprinidae
Source: Ensembl
UUUCUAGCAAUUUCUGAGUGAAAUUAGUUUCUACACCAAUUUUUUACUCUGCAGUCAGUAUAUCCGGCUUAAUGCACCACGAAGUAGAUCUUCAAGCGACUGUAAUGAGACGUGUUUGUUAAACCACAAUCUACAUGGCAACAACCGUGUUGUAUCUGUCAGAGGUCAAGCGUGCAUGUAGCUUGCCAGCCGAGAUGUGACAAGGGAAUUUGAGUAAGAGGAUCUUUCCUGAUCAUAUCAGAGUUAAUAGCUUGGGACCCAUGGGAAAUAAAGUGCCUCAGCACAAUAAGCUCAAAUCAAUACUAUGAAAAAGAAUUUAUGAAAGAUGCACAAUGUGGCAUUUCAUCCUCCCAUUCACAGAUAAGCACCAUGCUGACUGUCAUCUGAGAAAGCUCAGAUGUUUGUGGAAGUCUGGAGAUGUUGGGAAGAUCAUUCUGAUGGGGAACGAAAGCUGUCUCUGCUGCUGGUGUGCUGGUGGUCCCAUCAGGCUUCUUAACUAGCCUAAUCAGCAAGACUGCCUUGGUAAAGAAUCUUUACCUUUCAAGUUCUGCUGGUAAACAAAAUCUUUGCCAUUCAAGUUCUCCUGGUAAACAGCAUGGUUAUAGAAAACUGUUCAAAAUCAUCUGGCCCAAACUCUGUUAUCCAAAAUGAUGAUGCUAAAAAUGCUAAAACCAGGGUUGUGGACUUGAGGUAUACAGUUUGUCUAAUAAACAACCUCUUUUCAUCUUUUGUUGGUUCGUUUGAUUCUCUUGAGGUAAAAUUAUAAAAUUAAUUUAUAUUUCUUUCUCUGUCUGACAUGAUGAAUUCAGGACAUGGCAAAGGAUGCAAAGCCUGAGGGUUGUGAUGGAGGGGGGGAGAUACUGAGUAAGGAAAGGGAGAAGGGAGGUGCACCAUCUGUAGACAAGUCCCUCAGCAGAGUUACCAGUCACCCCCAUCUGUCACGCUGUGUCCCCCUCUCGUCCCCCUGGGCCAAGCUAUUCAACCACUAACAGAACCGGCACUGGACAAAGAUCAGGAGCUUUCCAGCACAUAAACGCUGACCCUUUAGUAAAACAGACCUAAAUGAAACAUUGGCCUACAGACAGGUAGAAUAGACAUAAAAGAAAUGCAGGGAAUAGUUCACCCAGAAAAGAAAAUCCUGUCAUUAUUUACUCAUCCUCAUGAAAGUCCAAACCCGUAUGUUGUUUUUUUUUUAAAGUGGAAUGGAAAAGGAGAAAUUUUGAAUGAUCUUUCAUAGUGACGUUGGUCAGCACUAAAAAGGACAAAAUGAAUAAAAUAAAAUACCAUAAACAGUAUAUAUAUAUUUUGUGCACGAUAUUGCAAGUCCUGUGAAUUUCAAUUAUAUAAACUGUAAUUAUAGAAAAAUAUAAUUAUUGAACAUGCA